GGAGCAAUGCUUGACAGCUCUGCAUUUAGAUUUCUGAAACAUUAUAACCAAUUAUUCAUUUAAUUAAUGUGGUGGAAUAUGGGCUGGAGUAGAUUUCUGAGCAUCCGUGUCCCUAGAAGUACGGAUGCGUCUCCACAGGAGACUUAAGGGAACAGAGGGUUGGCCACUUACAUGCAGAAAAAGCGCUUUAUUUCUCUAUUGCUCAACUAAUUCAGUGUUUUCCUUGAGCCUGAGCAGAUGAGACCAAACCCACGAGCUCACCUGCUUCUGAACAUGGGUUUCCAAACUUUACUCAAGAAUUGCUCUUGAUAUGAGCCACUAUUUACGGGUUUGGAUGGGCUUCAGCUGCUUUGACUGCACACAUCCUGCAUAACAGAGCAUCUAACUCAUCAGCUGUAACUAGACACAGCCGAUACUGAGAACUUCAGGUUACCUAAGGGAAACCUUAGGUAAAACAGCUGCUACCCAAGCCUUAUAUAGUCAGCACUAUAUAAAUAAAAGUGAUUCAAACUCCAACUCAGUAUUAACUUAAUUGCAUCUAUCUUUUCAGAUACAGUCCACGGGUUUAGAAUGGUGAUUUAUAAAUAUACUGACAACACUGAGGGGCAUCAGCUCUGGUCUUUGCAGUUGCCAGGCUUCAGCCAAACAUUCUACAUUUUAACCUCGCAAUUUCAUACAGCCAGAUUUCAGGCUGGAGGCCUAAAAACCUGCUUUAGGAAAUGAAAGGCUGGUGAGGGGGUUUUAUUCUUUUGUAUAAUCACUUGCUACAUGUUUCUCUGUGUAAAGUAUCCAAUACUAUCAAUAUAAUAAUGUUAUUUAAGGCAAGCAUGUUACAUAUUCUGAGGGCAGCUGAACAUAACUUCCUUAUUUUCAAGGUGCAGCAUUAGUGCUUACGUAGGAAACCCUAUUAGUUCAAGCUGAUGCAGUGCUUUAGUACUAACUUCUGUACUCCAAACACAACUAUUUAUUUUUAUUUCACCUUAUGUAAAUGGUAUAAUACUGUAAUGACCUUAGCAGCAGUCUGGUACCGCCCUUAUGUUCACAAGUUAGUAGCCAAUACCUGGUGCUGGAUGUAAUUUACUUUAUAAUCUAAACAUUCUGCUCAGUAGAACAGGCUCAUUCAUUUCAAAUUCUGUAUUUUUAGAAACUGUAGGACCACAGCAGUCUUCACAGCGUCCUCUGUCACCAUCCCUUCCCUGUGAGACAGGAUCAAUGUGCCCAGACCACUAGUACUGGAUGUCGUGACAAAAGAUGUGGCAUUACUUUUUAUAUGAAAUGGUGUUUCCUGCCAGCCCGGGACUAGUGAUGGAUUCUGG
RNAcentral lists this long non-coding RNA (1316 nucleotides) under Strigops habroptila (Kakapo). Its description in RNAcentral is "lncRNA (ENSSHBG00005013095.1)". Lineage: Eukaryota; Metazoa; Chordata; Aves; Psittaciformes; Psittacidae. The record is from RNAcentral.